GGAGAUCUCAUUAUGAUGGGUGCGAUCAUACCAGCCUUAACGCACCAGAUCCCAUCAGAACUUUGCAGUUAAGCAGGCUUGGGUCAAAGCAGUACUGGGAUGGGUGACCUCCUGGGA
Molecule: ribosomal RNA, 117 nt
Filed under: Podocarpus elongatus
Lineage: Eukaryota; Viridiplantae; Streptophyta; Pinopsida; Araucariales; Podocarpaceae
Source: RNAcentral